RNAcentral lists this ribosomal RNA (492 nucleotides) under uncultured bacterium. RNAcentral's name for it is "partial 16S ribosomal RNA". It matches the Rfam family "Bacterial small subunit ribosomal RNA", at positions 29 to 507 of the family's 1533-position model. The record is from RNAcentral.
AGUGAACGCUGGCGGUAGGCCUAACACAUGCAAGUCGAACGGCAGCACAGUAAGAGCUUGCUCUUACGGGUGGCGAGUGGCGGACGGGUGAGGAAUACAUCGGAAUCUACUUUUUCGUGGGGGAUAACGUAGGGAAACUUACGCUAAUACCGCAUACGACCUACGGGUGAAAGCAGGGGAUCUUCGGACCUUGCGCGAUUGAAUGAGCCGAUGUCGGAUUAGCUAGUUGGCGGGGUAAAGGCCCACCAAGGCGACGAUCCGUAGCUGGUCUGAGAGGAUGAUCAGCCACACUGGAACUGAGACACGGUCCAGACUCCUACGGGAGGCAGCAGUGGGGAAUAUUGGACAAUGGGCGCAAGCCUGAUCCGGCCAUACCGCGUGGGUGAAGAAGGCCUUCGGGUUGUAAAGCCCUUUUGUUGGGAAAGAAAAGCAGCAGGUUAAUACCCCGCUGUUCUGACGGUACUCAAAGAAUAAGCACCGGCUAACUUCGUG